GCCUCUGUAGCUCAGUUGGUAGAGCAGAGGACUGAAAAUCCUCGUGUCGUUGGUUCGAUUCCGACCGGAGGCA
This is a transfer RNA of Sporobacter termitidis DSM 10068, 73 nucleotides long. It matches the Rfam family "tRNA". Rfam says of the family: Transfer RNA (tRNA) molecules are approximately 80 nucleotides in length. Their secondary structure includes four short double-helical elements and three loops (D, anti-codon, and T loops). The record is from Rfam. NCBI's taxonomy places the organism in Bacteria, Bacillati, Bacillota, Clostridia, Eubacteriales, Oscillospiraceae.